This 586-nucleotide ribosomal RNA is filed under the name uncultured Shewanella sp. RNAcentral describes it as "bacterial SSU rRNA". It matches the Rfam family "Bacterial small subunit ribosomal RNA", at positions 235 to 813 of the family's 1533-position model. Lineage: Bacteria; Pseudomonadati; Pseudomonadota; Gammaproteobacteria; Alteromonadales; Shewanellaceae. The record is from RNAcentral.
GUGGGAUUAGCUAGUUGGUGAGGUAAUGGCUCACCAAGGCGACGAUCCCUAGCUGUUCUGAGAGGAUGAUCAGCCACACUGGGACUGAGACGCGGCCCAGACUCCUACGGGAGGCAGCAGUGGGGAAUAUUGCACAAUGGGGGAAACCCUGAUGCAGCCAUGCCGCGUGUGUGAAGAAGGCCUUCGGGUUGUAAAGCACUUUCAGUAGGGAGGAAAGGGUGUAGUUUAAUACGCUAUAUCUGUGACGUUACCUACAGAAGAAGGACCGGCUAACUCCGUGCCAGCAGCCGCGGUAAUACGGAGGGUCCGAGCGUUAAUCGGAAUUACUGGGCGUAAAGCGUGCGCAGGCGGUUUGUUAAGCGAGAUGUGAAAGCCCUGGGCUCAACCUAGGAAUAGCAUUUCGAACUGGCAAACUAGAGUCUUGUAGAGGGGGGUAGAAUUCCAGGUGUAGCGGUGAAAUGCGUAGAGAUCUGGAGGAAUACCGGUGGCGAAGGCGGCCCCCUGGACAAAGACUGACGCUCAUGCACGAAAGCGUGGGGAGCAAACAGGAUUAGAUACCCUGGUAGUCCACGCCGUAAACGAUGUC